CAUUAGGUGGCUGAUAAUAGGCGGGAGCCUUUUAAGCUCUAUAUGAUUUGUCCCUGAUGG
This 60-nucleotide transfer RNA is filed under the name Bathynomus sp. YS-2016. Its description in RNAcentral is "tRNA-Lys". Lineage: Eukaryota; Metazoa; Arthropoda; Malacostraca; Isopoda; Cirolanidae. The record is from RNAcentral.